ACACGCCCAGUCCGGCAACCGCACGGGAGGUCUCUCCCCCUAGACUGUGCUCCAUGGGGUGGACCCAGGCCUUGUGCUGUUUUUACUUAUAUCCCCCAUGGAGACCAGAGCUAGGCACAGAGUACAGCAGCACCCCAACUUUCAGCCGGUUACCCAUACAUCUCUCAUGUCAUUAAGAACAAUGAAACUAUAGCACACACACAUUCCAGUGGAAAAAAAUAAUUUUCAAAGUUCCCUGGAGUUCGUUGCAGUGGAAUCCAUGGCCCAGGAGGAAGAGGUUUAGUUCAGCCUGGAAGGAGGGCAUCCCAUCUGAGCCGAGACCUCUUUGAGGGUCCUUGUAUGUCACCUGCUGUCUGUCGCUGGUUCGCCUUCUGGCAUCUUUGAUACCUCCCCAGUCAGAGACCUCUGUUUGUGCCAAGAAGUCAUCUGCUGUGUCUUCAAACAAGACCGUAGGAGGCAGAGCCUCUGGUGCUGGCACAUCGCAGAAGCUAAUACCUCGUCACCAACGGAGUGAAGAGACCACGGCUUUCCCCUUUCCUUCCUGUAUUCCAGCUUGCAUGGAUGCCAGCAGAAUUCAAUCUAAAGUGGAAAGAGAAAAGUAAACAAACCUGAGAACUUUCUGGAUCUCUGCA
This 632-nucleotide long non-coding RNA is filed under the name Homo sapiens (human). Its description in RNAcentral is "HSALNT0402451". The record is from RNAcentral. Lineage: Eukaryota; Metazoa; Chordata; Mammalia; Primates; Hominidae.